GAAGGGCGCUAGCGUUGCUCGGAAUUACUGGGCGUAAAGGGCGCGUAGGCGGACAUUUAAGUCAGGGGUGAAAUCCCAGAGCUCAACUCUGGAACUGCCUUUGAUACUGGAUGUCUUGAGUGUGAGAGAGGUAUGUGGAACUCCGAGUGUAGAGGUGAAAUUCGUAGAUAUUCGGAAGAACACCAGUGGCGAAGGCGACAUACUGGCUCAUUACUGACGCUGAGGCGCGAAAGCGUGGGGAGCAAA
Molecule: ribosomal RNA, 246 nt
Filed under: uncultured bacterium
Lineage: Bacteria
Description: partial 16S ribosomal RNA
Rfam family: Bacterial small subunit ribosomal RNA
Source: RNAcentral